CAGGUACGAGUAGAGUGGCGCACGGGUGAGUAACGCGUGGAUAAUCUACCUUUGGAUCUGGGAUAACAUUGCGAAAGCGGUGCUAAUACCGGAUAAUAUCGUAAUAUCUGCGGAUAUAGCGAUGAAAGGCAGCCAAUCCUUGGAAGCAGUUGUCUGAAGAUGAGUCCGCGUACCAUUAGCUAGUUGGUGGGGUAAAGGCCUACCAAGGCGACGAUGGUUAGCUGGUCUGAGAGGAUGAUCAGCCACACUGGAACUGACACACGGUCCAGACUCCUACGGGAGGCAGCAGUGAGGAAUUUUGCGCAAUGGGGUAACCCCUGACGCAGCAACGCCGCGUGAGUGAUGAAGGCUUUUGGGUCGUAAAACUCUGUCAAUGGGAAAGAAAUUACAAUAUAUUAAUAGUGUGUUGUAUUGACGGUACCCAUGAAGGAAGCACCGGCUAACUCCGUGCCAGCAGCCGCGGUAAUACGGGGGGUGCAAGCGUUAUUCGGAAUUAUUGGGCGUAAAGGGCGUGCAGGCUGUAUACUAGGUCAGAUGUGAAAGUUCAGGGCUUAACUCUGAAAGUGCAUUUGAAACCAUUAUACUUGAGUAUGGGAGAGGGAAGUGGAAUUCCAGGUGUAGAGGUGAAAUUCGUAGAUAUCUGGAGGAACACCGGUGGCGAAGGCGACUUCCUGGACCAAUACUGACGCUGAGGCGCGAAGGCGUGGGUAGCGAACAGGAUUAGAUACCCUGGUAGUCCACGCAGUAAACGUUGAUCACUAGGUGUAGCGGGUAUUGACCCCUGCUGUGCCGGAGCAAACGCAUUAAGUGAUCCGCCUGGGGAGUACGAUCGCAAGAUUAAAACUCAAAGGAAUUGACGGGGGCCCGCACAAGCGGUGGAGCAUGUGGUUUAAUUCGACGCAACGCGAAGAACCUUACCUGGAUUUGACAUCUUGGGAAUACCUUAGAAAUUUGGUAGUGCCUUUCGGGGAGCCCAAAGACAGGUGCUGCAUGGCUGUCGUCAGCUCGUGUCGUGAGAUGUUGGGUUAAGUCCCGCAACGAGCGCAACCCUUAUCUUUAGUUACCAUCAUUUAGUUGGGGACUCUAGAGAUACUGCCCCGGUUAACGGGGAGGAAGGUGGGGAUGACGUCAAGUCCUCAUGGCCUUUAUAUCCAGGGCUACACACGUGCUACAAUGGUAUGUACAAAGAGUUGCUAAGCCGCGAGGUCAAGCUAAUCUCAUAAAGCAUAUCUUAGUUCGGAUUGGAGUCUGCAACUCGACUCCAUGAAGUUGGAAUCGCUAGUAAUCGUAGAUCAGCAUGCUACGGUGAAUACGUUCCCGGGCCUUGUACACACCGCCCGUCACACCAUGAGAGUUGACUGUACCAGAAG
Molecule: ribosomal RNA, 1370 nt
Filed under: metagenome
Description: bacterial SSU rRNA
Rfam family: Bacterial small subunit ribosomal RNA
Source: RNAcentral